GGCACUAUGGCCGAGUGGUUAAGGCGAGAGACUCGAAUUAAAUUUCCAGUAAUCUCUUGGGCUCUGCCCGCGUUGGUUCAAAUCCGACUGGUGUCG
RNAcentral lists this transfer RNA (96 nucleotides) under Huiozyma naganishii CBS 8797. RNAcentral's name for it is "Kazachstania naganishii CBS 8797 tRNA". It matches the Rfam family "tRNA". Rfam says of the family: Transfer RNA (tRNA) molecules are approximately 80 nucleotides in length. Their secondary structure includes four short double-helical elements and three loops (D, anti-codon, and T loops). Further hydrogen bonds mediate the characteristic L-shaped molecular structure. tRNAs have two regions of fundamental functional importance: the anti-codon, which is responsible for specific mRNA codon recognition, and the 3' end, to which the tRNAs corresponding amino acid is attached (by aminoacyl-tRNA synthetases). tRNAs cope with the degeneracy of the genetic code in two manners: having more than one tRNA (with a specific anti-codon) for a particular amino acid; and 'wobble' base-pairing, i.e. permitting non-standard base-pairing at the 3rd anti-codon position. Lineage: Eukaryota; Fungi; Ascomycota; Saccharomycetes; Saccharomycetales; Saccharomycetaceae. The record is from Rfam by way of RNAcentral.